RNAcentral lists this ribosomal RNA (277 nucleotides) under uncultured prokaryote. Its description in RNAcentral is "partial 16S ribosomal RNA". It matches the Rfam family "Bacterial small subunit ribosomal RNA", at positions 524 to 800 of the family's 1533-position model. The record is from RNAcentral.
UACGAAGGGGGCUAGCGUUGCUCGGAAUUACUGGGCGUAAAGGGAGCGUAGGCGGACAUUUAAGUCAGGGGUGAAAUCCCGGGGUUCAACCUCGGAAUUGCCUUUGAUACUGGGUGUCUUGAGUAUGAGAGAGGUGUGUGGAACUCCGAGUGUAGAGGUGAAAUUCGUAGAUAUUCGGAAGAACACCAGUGGCGAAGGCGACGCACUGGCUCAUUACUGACGCUGAGGCUCGAAAGCGUGGGGAGCGAACAGGAUUAGAUACCCCUGUAGUCCCUGA